UCGCGCUGCUCGUCGGUGCGGUGGGCGUCGGGUUGGGUGCCCGGCUGAUGCGCCAGUUCGAGUCCGGCCGAGGCGAGCC
This 79-nucleotide transfer RNA is filed under the name Micromonospora sp. AKA109. RNAcentral describes it as "tRNA-Pro". The record is from RNAcentral. Lineage: Bacteria; Bacillati; Actinomycetota; Actinomycetes; Micromonosporales; Micromonosporaceae.